AGGCUCCCAGUCCCACGGUCCCACCGGGCCACCUCCCGAGGUUCGGCUGUUCCCAAAUCCCAGUUCCCACUGUGGCACUGUGCCACUGUCUACAGUCCACUGAUCCCGAUUCCCCAAUCCCACUGAGGUGAGUAAGUAACUGUAGUAUGUGGUUACUUAGUUUAUUAAUUAUUUUUUGGUUUAAUUAAAUUAUAUGUAGUUAAGUAAUUAAUUUAAAAUUUGUUAUUUUUUGGUUCAAUUGUAGAUUGGUUGUGACUUCACUACUUCAGCGGUUUGGCACUAUUCGGCCUCUUCUCGCUGUCGAGUUCGGAACUAUUCCACCUCUUCUCGACACAAUUAAGUUCGACACUACUUGUCGGGACCCGAGUUUGUUUUUCUUGACACAAUUAAGUUUUAUCAUUUUUAACUUUUUAUAUUUUGAUUUGUUUGUGGUGGUUUUUUAAUUGCUUAGUUUGAUAAUAUUAUUUAUAGAUUAAAAUGUCUAAUAGAAAAUAUGACU
Molecule: long non-coding RNA, 499 nt
Filed under: Phoenix dactylifera (date palm)
Lineage: Eukaryota; Viridiplantae; Streptophyta; Magnoliopsida; Arecales; Arecaceae
Description: long non-coding RNA (PDAC_LNC007187)
Source: RNAcentral